UGUGAUGCUGUGUGGUUUCUGUCACGUACACACACACAGGCACACUCAUGCACACACCCCCUACCUCCCUGCCUACAUUCCACCCAGCCUGACUGCUCUGGAAGGAAGAAUCCCUGCAAGGUGAGUGUUAUUAUAUCCAUUUGUGGACCAGGACUGCGGCUCAGAAGCUUUUCCCAGGACACUGAACUCUGACAGGUGAAUAGCUGCCAAGUGGUGGAGGUUGGCCUGCAGUGAGCAUCAGUCUGACUUCGAAGGACAGAAUGACACAUGGUACAAGCUUUCUGUCUUACUGCCACACGUCAGUGUCCUGGGAGAUGAACCAGAUGCAGCUCCCUGAUGAAUGUGGGAAUAAAAAUUUAUAUCAGAAUCGACACUGGUUAUAAUGUGAAUUUAUGACAUUACUUGAGAAUAUUCAAUUCUGCUGUAGAGGACAAAAAAAAUGGAAUAAUGAAAUCCAUCAUAAACCCUGGGCAUAGUUGGUAAGUAAGCAGGUACCUUAUGCGAUAUAGGCAAAACUUAUAGGAUGUAUUAAGUAUAGAUAGAGAGUAAUGUAGUAUAUACUGAGGCAUGUUAAAGAUAAACAGAAUGCAUGAAAUAUAUGCUGGAACAAGGAAGAAUAUUAUAGAUAGAAAUGUCAAGUCAUAUGUCUUGAUCAUUCUAUCUCUAGGCUGACAGCUCAGUCAUCUCUAGAUGAGCCAUUCAUUGGUAACUCAAUAUGGUCUCAUUCUGAGUUUCACAUGAACUGUGCUAAAAAAAAAAAAUGCAGAUAAAACCUUUCACUGUUCAGUAAGUGAAUUGGCCAGGGGGUCCUUGUUUCUUAUCUUAGUCCAUUUUCUGCUGCUAUAACAGAAUAACCUCAGAUGGGAUAAUUGAUAAAGAAUAGAAAUGUAUUUCUCACAGUUCCAGAGGUUGGGAAGUCCAAGGUCAAGGGGCCCAGAUCCGGUGAGGGUCUUGUUACUGUCAUAGCAUGGUGGAAGGGCCAGAGAGAAAGUUGGAGAGAGAGAAUGGAACUCACAGCCCCCAGCCCUUUUAUAAUCCACAUUAAUCCAUUCAUGAGGAUGGAACCCUCGUGAUCUAAACACCUCCCAUGAGGCCCCACCUCCUAACACUGUGGCAUCAGGGAUUGCAUUUCCAGCACAUGCUUUUUGGGGAGCACAUUCAAACCAUAGCAUCCCUGCAUCUCUCUGACAUAGCAAAUGUGUGUCAUUGGCCCAGCAGGCCUUCUGUCUGUGGGCCCCCUUGCUCAAACCUCAACUCUGGUCUCCUGACCACACUGUUAGUGUAGAGAAAGACAGGACGUUUGGAGCUUGCAUAGUCCAGAAGUCAAGAAGCGGUUGCUGUCACCUGCCUGCAACCCAUCCUUACGAACUGACUCUAUCUCCUUCCCCUUGCUUUUCCCUGUGUGUUUUAAAUUAAUUUAAUAAACUGUGUGAGGCCGGGUGUGGUGGCUCAUGCCUGUAAUCCAAGCACUCUGGGAGGCUGAGACAGGUGGAUCACCUGAGGUCAGGGAUUCAAGACCAGCCUGGCCAACAUGGUGAAACCCUGUCUCUACAAAAAUACAAAAAUUAGCCAGGCAUGAUGUGGGUGCCUGUAAUCCCAGCUACUCAGGAGGCUGAGGCGGGAGAAUCACUGGAACUCAGAGGCAGAGGUUGCAGUGAGCCGAGAUCGUGCCAUUGCACUCCAGCCUGGGUGGCAGA
This 1697-nucleotide long non-coding RNA is filed under the name Homo sapiens (human). Its description in RNAcentral is "HSALNT0114975". The stretch from base 1435 to 1551 matches the Rfam family "Metazoan signal recognition particle RNA". The record is from RNAcentral. Lineage: Eukaryota; Metazoa; Chordata; Mammalia; Primates; Hominidae.